RNAcentral lists this ribosomal RNA (465 nucleotides) under Vreelandella stevensii. RNAcentral's name for it is "partial 16S ribosomal RNA". It matches the Rfam family "Bacterial small subunit ribosomal RNA", at positions 338 to 795 of the family's 1533-position model. The record is from RNAcentral. Lineage: Bacteria; Pseudomonadati; Pseudomonadota; Gammaproteobacteria; Oceanospirillales; Halomonadaceae.
CCUACGGGUGUCAGCAGUGGGGAAUAUUGGACAAUGGGCGAAAGCCUGAUCCAGCCAUGCCGCGUGUGUGAAGAAGGCCUUCGGGUUGUAAAGCACUUUCAGUGGGGAAGAAAGCCUUGGGGCUAAUACCCUCGAGGAAGGACAUCACCCACAGAAGAAGCACCGGCUAACUCCGUGCCAGCAGCCGCGGUAAUACGGAGGGUGCGAGCGUUAAUCGGAAUUACUGGGCGUAAAGCGCGCGUAGGCGGUCUGAUAAGCCGGUUGUGAAAGCCCCGGGCUCAACCUGGGAACGGCAUCCGGAACUGUCAGGCUAGAGUGCAGGAGAGGAAGGUAGAAUUCCCGGUGUAGCGGUGAAAUGCGUAGAGAUCGGGAGGAAUACCAGUGGCGAAGGCGGCCUUCUGGACUGACACUGACGCUGAGGUGCGAAAGCGUGGGUAGCAAACAGGAUUAGAUACCCCGGUAGUC